RNAcentral lists this transfer RNA (87 nucleotides) under Gymnopilus junonius. Its description in RNAcentral is "tRNA-Leu". It matches the Rfam family "tRNA". From Rfam's summary of the family: Transfer RNA (tRNA) molecules are approximately 80 nucleotides in length. Their secondary structure includes four short double-helical elements and three loops (D, anti-codon, and T loops). Lineage: Eukaryota; Fungi; Basidiomycota; Agaricomycetes; Agaricales; Galerinaceae. The record is from RNAcentral.
ACGAGUAUGCUGAAACUUGGUAGACAGGUGAGUUUUAGGAACUCAUGAUAAAAAUAAAUCGUAAGAGUUCAAGUCUCUUUACUCGUA